GAUGAACGCUGGCGGCGUGCUUAAUACAUGCAAGUCGAACGGACAGGCCCUGCUCUUGUGCGGUGCUCGUGUGGCGCACAGGUGAGUAACACGUGAGUAAACUCCCCUUGACUUUGGGAUAACUUCAGGAAACUGCGGAUCUUACAGGAUAGGAGCUCUUGCUGCAUGGUGGGGGAUGGUAAGAUUCGGCGGUUUGGGAUGGACUCGCGGCUUCUCAGCUUGUUGGUGAGGUAGUGGCUGACCAAGUCUUUGACGGCUAGCCGGCCUGAGAGGGGGACCGGCCACAUGGCUACUGAGGUACGGCCCAGACGGCUACGUGAGGCAGCAGUGGGGAACAUUGCACAACGAGGGGAAGCCUGAUGCAGCAACGCCGCGUGCGUGAUGACGUGCUUCUAGUUGUGAACCGAUGUCGCCUUUGACGAGGCGUGAGUGACGGUAACGAGUAAAGAAGCACCGGCUAACUACGUG
This 468-nucleotide ribosomal RNA is filed under the name uncultured bacterium. RNAcentral describes it as "partial 16S ribosomal RNA". It matches the Rfam family "Bacterial small subunit ribosomal RNA", at positions 28 to 507 of the family's 1533-position model. The record is from RNAcentral.